Non-coding RNA from Tetranychus urticae (two-spotted spider mite), 719 nucleotides. NCBI's taxonomy places the organism in Eukaryota, Metazoa, Arthropoda, Arachnida, Trombidiformes, Tetranychidae. The record is from RefSeq and is a predicted model, not a curated record.
UUAGCUUGUCAAAGGUUGAACAGUUUUGUUAUGAAUAUUGUGAUAAUCAUGAAAUCUGUUGAAAUGUUGAGCUGUUGAAAUUUACGUUAAUCUUGAUAAUUUCAUUCUUUAUUCAUUCCAGAUUCAAGAAAGAUGAAGAUAAAAAGGACAGUUUGGAUGGGGAAGAUGAAGAUGAUGAGCAAGUCAAAGAUGAAAAGUUAAUUUAUUUUUACAAUUCUGGUGACAAUCUUGAAAAAGAACUUCAUUUAUUAACAAAUCCUCCUGGAAUUACAUCGCGAUUUAGAAAUAAAGUGGACGCUUCGACUGAACAACCAUUUCAAGAGACAAAUGCUCAAUCCGAUUUUAGCUCAUAUUAUCCACCCAGAAUUAUACACACUGCAGCCACACCUCAAGGUUCACCUGGACCACAGGAACUAUCUUAUGGUCAUAAGCACCUUAAUUUGUCAAGUUUGGCCCUCAAUAGUCAGCCUCAAUUGAAUGUUGAAAAGUCACAGUCCAAGUUUGAAGAACAUACAUCUUCAAGUAGUAUUGGACGGAAGCUAAGCACACUGACCUCCCUGAUGCCCAACCUGAUUCCUGGAACACCAUUUCGCUUGUCUCCUUAUUCAACAAUCCGUCGACCCAGCAUAAGUAAAGUUGAUUAUCCUGAUCGAUGUUAUGGUUCUUUGGUUAGUCCUCCUAUUGUAGUUGAAAGAAGCUCACAACCAUCGACUGGCAAU